RNAcentral lists this ribosomal RNA (713 nucleotides) under uncultured bacterium. RNAcentral describes it as "bacterial SSU rRNA". It matches the Rfam family "Bacterial small subunit ribosomal RNA", at positions 60 to 752 of the family's 1533-position model. The record is from RNAcentral.
AGUCGAACGCGAAGUCCCCUUCGGGGGACAAGUAGAGUGGCGCACGGGUGAGUAACACGUAGGUAAUCUACCUUCGGGUGGGGAAUAACAACCGGAAACGGUUGCUAAUACCGCAUAAUGCAGCGGCACCUAAUGGUGACAGUUGUUAAAGCGGGGGAUCGCAAGAUCUCGCGCCUGAAGAGGAGCCUGCGGCGGAUUAGCUAGUUGGUAGGGUAAUGGCCUACCAAGGCGACGAUCCGUAGCCGGCCUGAGAGGGCGGUCGGCCACACUGACACUGACAUACGGGUCAGACUCCUACGGGAGGCAGCAGUCGGGAAUUUUGGGCAAUGGGCGAAAGCCUGACCCAGCAACGCCGCGUGAAGGAUGAAAUCCCUCGGGAUGUAAACUUCGCAAGAACGGGAAGAAUAAGUUUGUGCUAAUACCACAAGCGAUGACGGUACUGUUUGUAAGCUCCGGCUAACUCCGUGCCAGCAGCCGCGGUAAUACGGGGGGAGCAAGCGUUGUUCGGAUUUACUGGGCGUAAAGGGCGCGUAGGCGGCCUCCGCAAGUCAGUUGUGAAAUCUCCGAGCUUAACUCGGAAAGGUCAACUGAUACUGCGGAGCUAGAGUGCGGAAUGGGCAACUGGAAUUCUUGGUGUAGCGGUGAAAUGCGUAGAUAUCAAGAGGAACACCUGCGGCGAAAGCGGGUUUGCUGGGCCGACACUGACGCUGAGC